Molecule: ribosomal RNA, 1694 nt
Filed under: Proteus mirabilis
Lineage: Bacteria; Pseudomonadati; Pseudomonadota; Gammaproteobacteria; Enterobacterales; Morganellaceae
Description: partial 23S ribosomal RNA
Rfam family: Bacterial large subunit ribosomal RNA
Source: RNAcentral
GUUGGGUAGGGGAGCGUUCUGUAAGCCUGCGAAGGUGUACUGUGAGGUAUGCUGGAGGUAUCAGAAGUGCGAAUGCUGACAUAAGUAACGAUAAUGCGGGUGAAAAACCCGCACGCCGGAAGACCAAGGGUUCCUGUCCAACGUUAAUCGGGGCAGGGUGAGUCGACCCCUAAGGCGAGGCUGAAAAGCGUAGUCGAUGGGAAACGGGUUAAUAUUCCCGUACUGGUGGUAACUGCGAUGGGGGAACGGAGAAGGCUAGGUUGUCCGGGCGACGGUCGUCCCGGUUCAAGCAGGUAGGCAGAGUGAUUAGGCAAAUCCGGUCACUUAAUGCUGAGAUGUGAUGACGAACCACCAAGGUGGUGAAGCAAUUGAUGCCCCGCUUCCAGGAAAAGCCUCUAAGCUUCAGGUUACCAACAAUCGUACCCCAAACCGACACAGGUGGUCAGGUAGAGAAUACUCAGGCGCUUGAGAGAACUCGGGUGAAGGAACUAGGCAAAAUGGUGCCGUAACUUCGGGAGAAGGCACGCUGGCGGUAGGUAAAGUCCCUUGCGGACGGCGCUGAAGCCAGUCGAAGAUACCAGCUGGCUGCAACUGUUUAUUAAAAACACAGCACUGUGCAAACACGAAAGUGGACGUAUACGGUGUGACGCCUGCCCGGUGCUGGAAGGUUAAUUGAUGGGGUUAGCGCAAGCGAAGCUCCUGAUCGAAGCCCCAGUAAACGGCGGCCGUAACUAUAACGGUCCUAAGGUAGCGAAAUUCCUUGUCGGGUAAGUUCCGACCUGCACGAAUGGCGUAAUGAUGGCCAGGCUGUCUCCACCCGAGACUCAGUGAAAUUGAACUCGCUGUGAAGAUGCAGUGUACCCGCGGCAAGACGGAAAGACCCCGUGAACCUUUACUAUAGCUUGACACUGAACAUUGAGCCUUGAUGUGUAGGAUAGGUGGGAGGCUUUGAAGUGUGGACGCCAGUCUGCAUGGAGCCAACCUUGAAAUACCACCCUUUAACGUUUGAUGUUCUAACCUAGGCCCAUAAACUGGGUCGGGGACCGUGUCUGGUGGGUAGUUUGACUGGGGCGGUCUCCUCCUAAAGAGUAACGGAGGAGCACGAAGGUUGGCUAAGCAUGGUCGGACAUCAUGCGGUUAGUGCAAAGGCAUAAGCCAGCUUGACUGCGAGAGUGACGGCUCGAGCAGGUACGAAAGUAGGUCUUAGUGAUCCGGUGGUUCUGAAUGGAAGGGCCAUCGCUCAACGGAUAAAAGGUACUCCGGGGAUAACAGGCUGAUACCGCCCAAGAGUUCAUAUCGACGGCGGUGUUUGGCACCUCGAUGUCGGCUCAUCACAUCCUGGGGCUGAAGUAGGUCCCAAGGGUAUGGCUGUUCGCCAUUUAAAGUGGUACGCGAGCUGGGUUUAGAACGUCGUGAGACAGUUCGGUCCCUAUCUGCCGUGGGCGUUGGAAGAUUGAGAGGGGUUGCUCCUAGUACGAGAGGACCGGAGUGAACGCACCACUGGUGUUCGGGUUGUCAUGCCAAUGGCAUUGCCCGGUAGCUAAGUGCGGAAGAGAUAACCGCUGAAAGCAUCUAAGCGGGAAACUUGCCUCGAGAUGAGUCUUCCCUGUCGCUUUAAGCGACCUAAAGGAACGUUUAAGACUAAGACGUUGAUAGGCUGGGUGUGUAAGCGUAGCGAUACGUUGAGCUAACCA